UGUCAUACCUGCUGUCAAAAUAGUUUGACUAUUGCCUCUUACUUAUCUUUCUGUUUUUUCAGGUUGGCUGCAUCACCAAGCUGUAAGUCAAGAUGUCUUAUCCAGCCUUGACUUUGGCAUUACUAAACCUUGGAUCUGGAGCCCCAGAUUACAUAUGGGAGAAAAUGAGAAGCCUCACUGAAACUUUGAACUGUUUCUCCUGCUCACAUAUGGCAUCCAACUUCACAAAGGAAUUCUUAGUGGAGGGAUAAGAAUAAAAAGGCCAUCUGAGUGUUGUUAAUCCCA
This is a long non-coding RNA of Bos indicus x Bos taurus (hybrid cattle), 285 nucleotides long. NCBI's taxonomy places the organism in Eukaryota, Metazoa, Chordata, Mammalia, Artiodactyla, Bovidae. The record is from Ensembl.